This 439-nucleotide ribosomal RNA is filed under the name uncultured bacterium. RNAcentral describes it as "partial 16S ribosomal RNA". It matches the Rfam family "Bacterial small subunit ribosomal RNA", at positions 339 to 795 of the family's 1533-position model. The record is from RNAcentral.
CUACGGGUUGCUGCAGUGAGGAAUAUUGCACAAUGGGGGGAACCCUGAUGCAGCAACGCCGCGUGGAGGAUGACGCAUUUCGGUGUGUAAACUCCUUUUAUAUGUCAAGAAAAUGACGGUAGCAUAUGAAUAAGCACCGGCUAGCUCCGUGCCAGCAGCCGCGGUAAUACGGAGGGUGCAAGCGUUACUCGGAACCACUGGACGUAAAGGACGCGUAGGCGGGUUGGAAAGUCAGGUGUGAAAUCCUACAGCUUAACUGUAGAACUGCACUUGAAACUUCUAAUCUAGAGUAUGGGAGGGGGAGAUGGAAUUAGUGGUGUAGGGGUAAAAUCCGUAGAUAUCACUAGGAAUACCUAAAGCGAAGGCGAUCUCCUGGAACAUUACUGACGCUAAGGCGUGAAAGCGUGGGGAGCAAACAGGAUUAGAUACCCCAGUAGUC